Long non-coding RNA from Callorhinchus milii (elephant shark), 284 nucleotides. RefSeq lists it as uncharacterized. The record is from RefSeq and is a predicted model, not a curated record. The transcript has 3 exons. NCBI's taxonomy places the organism in Eukaryota, Metazoa, Chordata, Chondrichthyes, Chimaeriformes, Callorhinchidae.
ACUUCCUUUGGCGGACGUUAAAGAUGGCCUGACUAUUGGAAAAAAGAGUAGAGGGUUUCUUCUGAUGUCCUGACAGACGUCGCUGUGGCCGCGCAGUGAGCUGUUUAACACUCCUUGACUGGACAGAGUGAUGUAGUCUGCAGCCUGGAUUGAGAGAUAAAUUACUUAGCAGUUGAAUGCAGUAGGCGUCCCCAGCAAUGCUACCUGUCUGGAAGCCAGAGAUAUUACUGGCCAUUGUCCUCCUCUCCUGGGGCUUUGUCGUUUACGCAUGCAGACUCGCAUCU